CUGGCGGCGUGCUUAACACAUGCAAGUCGAACGGUGAAGCCCAGCUUGCUGGGUGGAUCAGUGGCGAACGGGUGAGUAACACGUGAGUAACCUGCCCCUGACUCUGGGAUAAGCCUUGGAAACGAGGUCUAAUACCGGAUACGAGACGCUCGGGCAUCCGAAGUGUCUGGAAAGAUUUAUCGGUCAGGGAUGGACUCGCGGCCUAUCAGCUUGUUGGUGGGGUAGUGGCCCACCAAGGCGACGACGGGUAGCCGGCCUGAGAGGGCGACCGGCCACACUGGGACUGAGACACGGCCCAGACUCCUACGGGAGGCAGCAGUGGGGAAUAUUGCACAAUGGGCGCAAGCCUGAUGCAGCGACGCCGCGUGAGGGAUGAAGGCCUUCGGGUUGUAAACCUCUUUCAGCAGGGAAGAAGCGCAAGUGACGGUACCUGCAGAAGAAGCGCCGGCUAACUACGUGCCAGCAGCCGCGGUAAUACGUAGGGCGCAAGCGUUGUCCGGAAUUAUUGGGCGUAAAGAGCUCGUAGGCGGUUUGUCGCGUCUGCUGUGAAAACUCGAGGCUCAACCUCGGGCUUGCAGUGGGUACGGGCAGACUAGAGUGCGGUAGGGGAGACUGGAAUUCCUGGUGUAGCGGUGGAAUGCGCAGAUAUCAGGAGGAACACCGAUGGCGAAGGCAGGUCUCUGGGCCGCAACUGACGCUGAGGAGCGAAAGCAUGGGGAGCGAACAGGAUUAGAUACCCUGGUAGUCCAUGCCGUAAACGUUGGGCACUAGGUGUGGGGCUCAUUCCACGAGUUCCGUGCCGCAGCAAACGCAUUAAGUGCCCCGCCUGGGGAGUACGGCCGCAAGGCUAAAACUCAAAGAAAUUGACGGGGGCCCGCACAAGCGGCGGAGCAUGCGGAUUAAUUCGAUGCAACGCGAAGAACCUUACCAAGGCUUGACAUACACCGGAAACUUCCA
Molecule: ribosomal RNA, 957 nt
Filed under: Cellulomonas hominis
Lineage: Bacteria; Bacillati; Actinomycetota; Actinomycetes; Micrococcales; Cellulomonadaceae
Description: bacterial SSU rRNA
Rfam family: Bacterial small subunit ribosomal RNA
Source: RNAcentral